UACGAAGGGGGCUAGCGUUGUUCGGAAUUACUGGGCGUAAAGCGCACGUAGGCGGGUAUUUAAGUCAGGGGUGAAAUCCCAGAGCUCAACUCUGGAACUGCCUUUGAUACUGGGUACCUAGAGUAUGGAAGAGGUAAGUGGAAUUCCGAGUGUAGAGGUGAAAUUCGUAGAUAUUCGGAGGAACACCAGUGGCGAAGGCGGCUUACUGGUCCAUUACUGACGCUGAGGUGCGAAAGCGUGGGGAGCAAAC
This 250-nucleotide ribosomal RNA is filed under the name uncultured bacterium. RNAcentral describes it as "partial 16S ribosomal RNA". It matches the Rfam family "Bacterial small subunit ribosomal RNA", at positions 524 to 773 of the family's 1533-position model. The record is from RNAcentral.